Molecule: ribosomal RNA, 486 nt
Filed under: uncultured bacterium
Lineage: Bacteria
Description: partial 16S ribosomal RNA
Rfam family: Bacterial small subunit ribosomal RNA
Source: RNAcentral
AUUGAACGCUGGCGGCAUGCCUUACACAUGCAAGUCGAACGGCAGCACGGGUGCUUGCCCCUGGUGGCGAGUGGCGAACGGGUGAGUAAUACAUCGGAACAUGUCCUGUAGUGGGGGAUAGCCCGGCGAAAGCCGGAUUAAUACCGCAUACGAUCUACGGAUGAAAGCGGGGGACCUUCGGGCCUCGCGCUAUAGGGUUGGCCGAUGGCUGAUUAGCUAGUUGGUGGGGUAACGGCCUACCAAGGCGACGAUCAGUAGCUGGUCUGAGAGGACGACCAGCCACACUGGGACUGAGACACGGCCCAGACUCCUACGGGAGGCAGCAGUGGGGAAUUUUGGACAAUGGGCGAAAGCCUGAUCCAGCAAUGCCGCGUGUGUGAAGAAGGCCUUCGGGUUGUAAAGCACUUUUGUCCGGAAAGAAAUCCUUGGCCCUAAUACGGUCGGGGGAUGACGGUACCGGAAGAAUAAGCACCGGCUAACUACGUG